Molecule: ribosomal RNA, 523 nt
Filed under: Indosylvirana nicobariensis (Nicobar Island frog)
Lineage: Eukaryota; Metazoa; Chordata; Amphibia; Anura; Ranidae
Description: partial 16S ribosomal RNA
Rfam family: Bacterial large subunit ribosomal RNA (bases 165-523)
Source: RNAcentral
CCUCAAUCCUAGCCUUCCGCACACUCAUGCACACUCACCCCACUGCUCCACAAUAAAACAUUUUAACAUUAUAGUACAGGAGAUCAAAAUACUUCCAAGCGCUUCAGAUUAAGUACCGUAAGGGAACGAUGAAAUAAAAAUGAAACAAAUUUAAAGCCCUAAAUAGCAGAGAUUGUCCCUCGUACCUUUUGCAUCAUGGUCUAGCUAGUUUAACUAAGCAAAAAGAAAUUUAAGUUUAACCCCCCGAAACUAAGCGAGCUACUUCAAAAUAGCUAUAAGAGCCAACCCGUCUCUGUUGCAAAAGAGUGGGAGAAUUUUUAAGUAGCGGUGAUAAACCUAUCGGGCUUAGAGAUAGCUGGUUGUUCAGGAAAAGAGUUUCAGCUCCACCUAAAGUUUUUUUAUUGUCCCAAAAAUCUCUUUAAACUUUAGAGUCACUCAAAUAAGGCACAGCUUAUUUGAAUAAGGAUACAGCCUACAACAACGGGUAAAUAGAGGAGUUAUAAUAAUGGGCCUAAAAGCAGCC